GACGAACGCUGGCGGCGUGCUUAACACAUGCAAGUCGAACGGAAAGGCCCUGCUUUUGUGGGGUGCUCGAGUGGCGAACGGGUGAGUAACACGUGAGUAACCUGCCCUUGACUUUGGGAUAACUUCAGGAAACUGGGGCUAAUACCGGAUAGGAGCUCCUGCUGCAUGGUGGGGGUUGGAAAGUUUCGGUGGUUGGGGAUGGACGCGCGGCUUAUCAGCUUGUUGGUGGGGUAGUGGCUUACCAAGGCUUUGACGGGUAGCCGGCCUGAGAGGGUGACCGGCCACAUUGGGACUGAGAUACGGCCCAGACUCCUACGGGAGGCAGCAGUGGGGAAUAUAGCACAAUGGGCGGAAGCCUGAUGCAGCAACGCCGCGUGCGGGAUGACGGCCUUCGGUUUGUAAACCGCUUUCGCCUGUGACGAAGCGUGAGUGACGGUAAUGGGUAAAGAAGCACCGGCUAACUACGUG
This 468-nucleotide ribosomal RNA is filed under the name uncultured bacterium. RNAcentral's name for it is "partial 16S ribosomal RNA". It matches the Rfam family "Bacterial small subunit ribosomal RNA", at positions 28 to 507 of the family's 1533-position model. The record is from RNAcentral.